UAGAAGACAGGAAGCUGCUCCAUGUGUUCCAUGUCAGUCAUUUCCCGUUUUGAGGUUGCCCAUGGAUGGACCAGUCCCACUGGCUGGGCAACUGAGAGAUACGUGUGACUACUGGAAGUCAAGCUUUCAAGUGGAGGGGCACACCUUGUCAAUUGCUGAACGACCUCCUUUGUAAAUUGAGUGAGAGUGUGAGAUUUGCCCUGGAGCAUCUUUUCAGGUGUUCGGAAUUCUGCCACUGCCAUGACAGGAGCCUUUGGACUGAAGCUGCCCUGGGCCUGAAGUCAUCACCAGGCUGAGAGAGGCACCAGAUGGGCAAGAAGGCUACAGCUCCUGCAGGACCCAGAAAAAAUAUCUGGAUCCAGAGGAUGAAGAAUUCAUCCACCAGCCUCUGUCAGGUUGUGAAUGUGCAGUCUGUUUCUUCUGGAAGAGCCCCGGG
Non-coding RNA from Meleagris gallopavo (turkey), 436 nucleotides. The record is from RefSeq and is a predicted model, not a curated record. NCBI's taxonomy places the organism in Eukaryota, Metazoa, Chordata, Aves, Galliformes, Phasianidae.